Molecule: transfer RNA, 72 nt
Filed under: Levilactobacillus phage ENFP1
Lineage: Duplodnaviria; Heunggongvirae; Uroviricota; Caudoviricetes; Herelleviridae
Rfam family: tRNA
About the family: Transfer RNA (tRNA) molecules are approximately 80 nucleotides in length. Their secondary structure includes four short double-helical elements and three loops (D, anti-codon, and T loops).
Source: Rfam by way of RNAcentral
GGAUGUUUAGCUCAGUUGGUAGAGCAGUAGCUUGAAGCGCUAUGCGCGGUUGUUCGAUUCAAUCAGCAUCCA